CCUCCAGAGGUAGCCAAAAGCCCCAGUAAAGGAAAGCUCCCUAUUUUUGGCCUAUAGAUUGCACAAGGCUCCCAAGUACGGAAACUCUGUUUCUGUUUUAUUUUUAAGUCCCUACAGUGCCUGCUUGUAGAGCUCCCAGACAGUGUGCACACACAGACAUUCAGUAACUGCUGGGGAUCACGAGGGCUAGCGGUGAUAACGCAUGUCCUGAAUUACUACUGACUUAACAGGCUGUUAUUACCACAUUACAUUUGUGUGGGCCACAUUUGCUGUCUUCUGCACUCUUGGGCCAGGGCGGCCCGUGCCUUAGGUGGUCAAUUCCCUUAGAGUUGCUACUGAUUGAUAUAUGCUCUCAGGUUGGGCCAGAUUGGAAGUGGUAAGCUCAUAAUUGCGGGACUAACUUUCCUGGGAAACAAGCAAAAAAAAAAAAAAAAACCAAAAAACCACAAAAAAACAAAGCAAAACAAAACAAAACCCAGAGCAAUAAAAGCUACUGUUCAGUUCAACCUGCCCCACCCCCCAUUUCCCAAAAGCCAGCUGGGCUCUCUGGCUGUACUCUAGAGGCCACAGGCCUAAACUGGGGAGGUUUCAGAACAUAGCCGGAACUGGGUCCGUCCCUGGUGCCUGGAGACAUCAGGAUACCUUGGGACCCAAACCGGAGAUGUCUUCGUUCCUUAAACCAAAAGCAACUGCACGUCAGUAAUAUGUUAGGCCCUGUGUUUAGCACAGGGGAUGCAAAGUUAAGUCAAACAGGGUCCCUGCCUCCAAAAACCUUAUAGCUUAUCAUCAGGGACACAGACAUAAAUAAUGAGAUGUAUUGAAUGCAGUGUGGUAAGUGCACGCCGGGGCUGAGUGCAGGGAUGGGGGUUGGGUGAAGGACAAGGAUGCAUUCCCAGAAGUGAUAGUGAGCUGAGUCUUGAGAGAGAGAGAGCUGGCUUAAGCAACCACAGGCAUUCCAGGCCAAGGGAACAUGAAGCGAGGGAGAGCUUUGAGCCUCUGAAGCGCUGCGAGCAGCUCAUCGUAGCUGGAAUGAAGAUUAGGAGGCCUUGAGGUUCACAGAACAAUUGCUUUGGGUGUGAUGUCCCGAGCAAGAAAUAACCCGCAUCAGGGAUGGAACGAGGGCGGCAGGCACAUGGUGAAAAUAAGUCAACAGAGAAAGCAAGGAAGAGAUGGGCCCUUCAUCAGAUGGUUUUUGGCUUUAUCGAUACAAAACUAUUCCAGCUAAUUGUUCCCCAAGGUUUUCAAAAGGACUAAAAUGCCUUAGCACCAAAUCCCAACAUUCCUGGCACACAAGCAUGGCUGUACGAAGGGACGACUCUUUCUGGCUGGGCAGUCUCUGUGCCGGGCAAGCAGGCAGAGGCCUCACAGGUGAAGCUUCUUCAUAAACGCAGUGACCAAAGAAAAACCAAUUGCCGCUUUCACAUUGUGCUCGUGUGAUCGAGAUGAUUCUGCCGAGCUGCUGUUAAUACUUCUGCAAUUGUCAAACGAGCCAAUGAGAAAUGCGUCGAAGUCGCUCCACACCAGCGCUCAGACCCAUUACUGUAGGUCACAACAGCGAUUACUUCUUGCCAGAACAUGCGCUUACGGAGAGGUGCCUCCAAGAUACAGCAAUCUUGUUUGUCCGAGAAGCCCUCGCCGUUUCUAGGAGAACAUGGGGCAGAUCUGAAAGCCUGGUCUCACUAGUACGUGGCAGGGCUCCUCCUGAGGUCACACAUUUGGAAUAACAAAUGUCACAGAUCCCCUAUGUUGGCUUGACACCCCCCCCCCCACCACCACUUUUUCCCUAGCCAUUUUGACCAUGAACAUAUCUGGAUGCGGGGCGCCUGCGUGGCUCAGUCGGUUCAGCACCCUACUCUUGGUUUCAGCUCAGGUCACGAUCAGGAAGUUUUGUGGGUUUGAGCCCCACAUCGGGGCUCUGCGCUGGGAGCAUGGAGCCUCCUGCUGGAAUUCUCCCUCUCGCCCUCUCUCUCUGCCCCUCCCCCAUUGGCACUGUCUCCGUCUCUCUCAAAAUAAGUAAACUUAAAAAAAAAAAAAUACCUGGAUGCUUGGAACUUCUCAGCAAACACAAAACUUACAAAGCUCACAGAGGCUUGGAAACAUAGCCUAUCUGCAGGCAAUGAGAUAGUAGGUGGGGAUUGAGGAUAAAGGAUAAAAGAGGUUUCGGUGUUGAAUGAGGGGAAACCACAUUGUACCAAGACACAACAAAAACCCUGAUGAACAGAUCUGUGCAAGGUGACAGUAGAGGGUGUGUGUGUGUGUGUGUGUGUGUGCACGCGCGCAUGCAAUGACGCAUGUGAGCGAGGUGAAAGGGGGUGGGAGUGUGUGAGGCAGGGUGAGCAAGAAAAGGAAAAGAGAAGUGGGGGAGGGGGAUGAGAGAGAAUGCUCCGGUAAUCUCUGGGAGCUGAGCUGACUUCCCACCACGUUGAGGGGCCAUGCCUGCUGGUGACAGUAUGUGUCCUGUCCCCAUACAAGACAAUGUGAAAGGGACAGAGCCAGUGGGGACAGCUCUAGAGGAUCUGUAGAAUGGAGAGAGUUCGGCUUGAACUUGCUUCAUCGCUACUUUUGGACCAGCUAGCAGUCGUGGGAAAGCAGAAAUAACAAAAUGGGGACCCUUCAGUGGAUUUGAGUUGAAAUGGAGUCCUGAGCCCUCGAGGACUUUCCUGCGGUGGAGUGUCAUUGUUCUUUGUGACAAGCAACAGAGCAUUCGAGAAACUGGCAGGCCUGACUGACCAACCUGAUGCAGUGGUUGUCUGCAGAGUGGGCUUAAUAGUCUGCCCUUUCUGAGGGUCUGCUUGCUCAAGGGCAGGGAAGAAUGAGAGAAGCAGACUAGACAAGAGGCCUCUUACGAUUUCCUUGAACUCCCACUUGUAGGGUCAUCAUUACACAUGACGAUGUCUAGAAAGCCAUCUGGCAAAUAACCGGCCCCAAGCUGGGAUUAUUAAAAAUGGGGUUUAGGAAGAACGAGGUACAAUCAGGGCCAUUAUGAGAACCAGGUCUAAGGGACUGGACAUAACAUGAUAGAAGGCUCAUUUAUAAGACAAAUCUCCACACCUUGAAGAACCUUAUUUCUUUUCUGAGUAAAGCUUUUUAGUUCUUUUUAGCCUUCCUGUGUUUUUUAAUUUUUUAAUUAUUUUUUUACUGUUUAUUCAUUUUUUGAGAGAGAGAGAGAGAGAGAGAGAGACAGAGUGUGAGCAAGGGAGGGACAGAGAGAGAGGAAGACACAGAAUCUGAAGCAGCCUCCAGGCUCUGAGCUGACAGCACAGAGCCUGAUGCGGGGCUCAAACUCAUGAACCUCGAGAUCAUGACCCGAGCCAAAGCCAGACGCUUAACCAACUGAGCCACCAAGGCACCCCUCAUUGUUUUAAAAAUAAUCUUAAAUGUAUGGAAACCAAUUUUAUGAUAAAUUUCAUAUUAAAAAAUAAUAAUCUCAAAGGGGGUAAAUCACCCAAAAAAAUCACCCAAGAAUCUGCCACUCAGAGUCAACUACUAUUAACAUUUCAACAUAUUUCCAAUCUUCCUUCCAUUAAUUUCCCUUUCUUUCUUCCUUUCCUUUGUUAGGAGGCUCCACACUCAGCAUGGAGUCCAACAUGGGGACUGAACUCAGGACCUUAAUAAAGAUCAAGAGUCAGACACUUAACCAACCUAGCCACCCAGGCUACCCCUCAUUUUUCUUUCAAUAACUGAAAUCAUGAUGUGUCUGGAUUAGUUGGGCUUUUGUUGCGGUUGAUGCAAGGUGGAAGGUUUGCUAAAGUCACCUUAAGUAAUCAAGUAAUGGAGGUUUACUGUAAGAGCACAGGCCUGAUAUCAUGGGCCCCCAGGACUGAAUAUCAGGUCUCAUGGUGUCUAGAAUGUAGCUCUGAGACUUCAGGUCAUGCAGGACCCAGCACAGCUUUAGCAAACCAGGUUAUUUAUUUCCCUCUCACUUCCUUAACCCUAUGGACUGUGGCAGACGGUGUUUUCCAAAGAUGGCUGCAACAGUAUCUCCUAUUCCCCAUGCUGCUCCAGACCGUUGCCACUCCUGUGGCAAGAUGGGGAGCCUGUGACCCCUGCCUUUGAUACUAGGAUGACCUUGGUGACCUCCAACAAUGCUCUGACUUCUAAGUCCAGGUCAUAAACAUGCCAUGUGCUAAAAGAAAGGAACAGAAAGGAAAGGAAAGGAAAGGGAAGAAAAGAAAAGAAGAGAAAAGAAAAGAUCAUGCUCUUCAACCUUGUCCUUUUGAAACCCAGUCACCAUGUUGGGAGGAAGUCCAUGAAGAAAACCAUGUGGAGGACAACAGAGGCCCAUGGCUCAUAGUGAGCCCAAAUGUGCCAGCUCUGUGAGUGAGCCAUAUUGAAACUGGACCCUCUACCCCCAGGUGAACUUCCCUCCCUGACUCUCCUCAUGAAACAGAAAAUAACUGUCACCACUCAGCUCUGACAAAUUAUAGACUUGUGAGGGCACCUACAAAUGAGUGGCUUAGUCGGUUAAGCCCCCGACUCUUGAUCUCGGCUCAGGGUCAAGAGUUUAAGCCCCACAUUAGGCGUCACCCUGGACAUGAAGCCUACUUAAAAAAUGAUAAUAAA
Neofelis nebulosa (Clouded leopard) is the source of this 4563-nucleotide long non-coding RNA. RefSeq lists it as uncharacterized. The record is from RefSeq and is a predicted model, not a curated record. NCBI's taxonomy places the organism in Eukaryota, Metazoa, Chordata, Mammalia, Carnivora, Felidae. The transcript has 4 exons.